This is a non-coding RNA of Trichobilharzia regenti, 48 nucleotides long. The record is from Rfam. Lineage: Eukaryota; Metazoa; Platyhelminthes; Trematoda; Strigeidida; Schistosomatidae.
AUCCAGCUGACGAGUCCCAAAUAGGACGCGGUGCGCGUUAUCCUGGAU